RNAcentral lists this long non-coding RNA (320 nucleotides) under Cricetulus griseus (Chinese hamster). RNAcentral's name for it is "lncRNA (ENSCGRG00000026384.1)". Lineage: Eukaryota; Metazoa; Chordata; Mammalia; Rodentia; Cricetidae. The record is from RNAcentral.
AGACAAAGUGGUUUGUGUUUUGAGACCCCUGCAUCUACCCGAACAAUCUAUGGAGACGCUGGCAUCCUGAAUGUGGCCAGAAGAUCCCUGUGUUUGCCACAGCACAACUCUUGGGGCGUACUUAGAGUAACUUGACACACAGUAUGGAAGAGGGUGACCACCAAGCUUCACCCUCUCCCCUUCCAGUCCUACACGGGGGUGGCAUUCACCACGAUUCUGCUCUAGGCAUCUUCCGUUCUACAAGAGUGACAGCUACCUCCACCCCCUCAUUUUCUCAGAGUCCUGGGCAGAGACUGGCACAGAGAUCCCUUAACACCAAG